Molecule: ribosomal RNA, 425 nt
Filed under: uncultured Lysobacteraceae bacterium
Lineage: Bacteria; Pseudomonadati; Pseudomonadota; Gammaproteobacteria; Lysobacterales; Lysobacteraceae
Description: bacterial SSU rRNA
Rfam family: Bacterial small subunit ribosomal RNA
Source: RNAcentral
GGGGAAUAUUGGACAAUGGGCGCAAGCCUGAUCCAGCCAUGCCGCGUGGUGAAGAAGGCCUUCGGGUUGUAAAGCCCUUUUGGUGGGGAAGAAAAGCAGCCGGCCAAUACCCGGUUGUUUCUACGGUACCCCAAGGAUUAAGCCCCGGCAAACUUGGGUCCGCAGCGGCGGUAAUACGAAGGGUGCAAGCGUUACUCGGAAUUACUGGGCGUAAAGCGUGCGUAGGUGGUGGUUUAAGUCCGUUGUGAAAGCCCUGGGCUCAACCUGGGAACUGCAGUGGAUACUGGAUCACUAGAGUGUGGCAGAGGGUAGUGGAAUUCCCGGUGUAGCAGUGAAAUGCGUAGAGAUCGGGAGGAACAUCAGUGGCGAAGGCGACUGCCUGGGCCAACACUGACACUGAGGCACGAAAGCGUGGGGAGCAAACA